RNAcentral lists this ribosomal RNA (487 nucleotides) under uncultured bacterium. RNAcentral's name for it is "bacterial SSU rRNA". It matches the Rfam family "Bacterial small subunit ribosomal RNA", at positions 28 to 511 of the family's 1533-position model. The record is from RNAcentral.
GAUGAACGCUAGCGGCAGGCUUAAUACAUGCAAGUCGUGGGGCAGCAUGAGUAGCAAUACUUGAUGGCGACCGGCAAACGGGUGAGGAACACGUACACAACCUUCCUUCAAGCGGGGAAUAGCCCAGAGAAAUUUGGAUUAAUACCCCAUAAUAUAUUUGAUAAGGCAUCUUAUUAAUAUUAAAGCUUCGGCACUUGAUGAUGGGUGUGCGGCUGAUUAGAUAGUUGGCGGGGUAACGGCCCACCAAGUCUACGAUCAGUAGCUGAUGUGAGAGCAUGAUCAGCCACACGGGCACUGAGACACGGGCCCGACUCCUACGGGAGGCAGCAGUAAGGAAUAUCGGACAAUGGACGAAAGUCUGAUCCAGCCAUGCCGCGUGAAGGAUUAAGGUCCUCUGGAUUGUAAACUUCUUUAUAUGGGACGAAAAAGGGCAUUCUUGUUCACUUGACGGUACCAUAUGAAUAAGCACCGGCUAACUCCGUGCCAG